Molecule: unclassified non-coding RNA, 420 nt
Filed under: Hevea brasiliensis (rubber tree)
Lineage: Eukaryota; Viridiplantae; Streptophyta; Magnoliopsida; Malpighiales; Euphorbiaceae
Source: RNAcentral
GAGCGAGACCGAGGGAGAGAGAGAGAGAGAAUGGCGACUUCACAUUUCUCUGCGACUUCGCAUUGUAGUCCUGUUUCGAGAUUCGUCGAUUUCGGUUCUAGAAGCGGUGGCAAGUGGAGAUCGAAUCUGUUCUUGAUUCGGACCUUGAGGUCGCGGUCUCUUACGAGGUCGUUUUCGGCUAAAAAUGUGUCUAGCGAGCCAAAGACGAAAUUCAAAGAUCCGAUCUCUGACGAAGAAAAUCCAAGUAGUCGGAGUCCUUUCACUUCAGAUGCCUCAUCUAUCGCCUCAAGUAUCAAAUACCAUGCAGAAUUCACACCAUCAUUUUCCCCAGAGAAAUUUGAGCUUCCAAAGGCCUUCUUUGCAACUGCGCAAAGUGUUCGUGAUGCUCUCAUCAUAAAUUGGAAUGAAACGUAUGAGCAC